RNAcentral lists this transfer RNA (77 nucleotides) under Bacillota bacterium. RNAcentral's name for it is "tRNA-Ile". It matches the Rfam family "tRNA". From Rfam's summary of the family: Transfer RNA (tRNA) molecules are approximately 80 nucleotides in length. Their secondary structure includes four short double-helical elements and three loops (D, anti-codon, and T loops). Further hydrogen bonds mediate the characteristic L-shaped molecular structure. tRNAs have two regions of fundamental functional importance: the anti-codon, which is responsible for specific mRNA codon recognition, and the 3' end, to which the tRNAs corresponding amino acid is attached (by aminoacyl-tRNA synthetases). tRNAs cope with the degeneracy of the genetic code in two manners: having more than one tRNA (with a specific anti-codon) for a particular amino acid; and 'wobble' base-pairing, i.e. permitting non-standard base-pairing at the 3rd anti-codon position. RNAcentral also lists the same sequence under 1 other name. The record is from RNAcentral. Lineage: Bacteria; Bacillati; Bacillota.
GGACCUGUAGCUCAGCUGGUUAGAGCGCACGCCUGAUAAGCGUGAGGUCGAUGGUUCAAGUCCAUUCAGGUCCACCA